ACGGGUCUAGCUCAGUUGGUAGAGCACUGGUCUCCAAAACCAGUUGUCGGGAGUUCGAGCCUCUCGACCCGUGCUA
This 76-nucleotide transfer RNA is filed under the name Porphyromonadaceae bacterium. RNAcentral's name for it is "tRNA-Trp". It matches the Rfam family "tRNA". From Rfam's summary of the family: Transfer RNA (tRNA) molecules are approximately 80 nucleotides in length. Their secondary structure includes four short double-helical elements and three loops (D, anti-codon, and T loops). Further hydrogen bonds mediate the characteristic L-shaped molecular structure. tRNAs have two regions of fundamental functional importance: the anti-codon, which is responsible for specific mRNA codon recognition, and the 3' end, to which the tRNAs corresponding amino acid is attached (by aminoacyl-tRNA synthetases). tRNAs cope with the degeneracy of the genetic code in two manners: having more than one tRNA (with a specific anti-codon) for a particular amino acid; and 'wobble' base-pairing, i.e. permitting non-standard base-pairing at the 3rd anti-codon position. Lineage: Bacteria; Pseudomonadati; Bacteroidota; Bacteroidia; Bacteroidales; Porphyromonadaceae. The record is from RNAcentral.